AAUGAAGUGCCUGAUAAAAGGAUUACUUUGAUAGAGUAAAUCAUGUAAAAUUUACCUUCAUUA
This 63-nucleotide transfer RNA is filed under the name Languriidae sp. KM-2017. Its description in RNAcentral is "tRNA-Ile". The record is from RNAcentral. Lineage: Eukaryota; Metazoa; Arthropoda; Insecta; Coleoptera; Erotylidae.